CUGCUUCAGCAGCACAUAUACUAAAACUGGAACGAUACAGAGAAGAUUAGCAUGGCCCCUGCGCUAGGAUGACACGCAAAUUCGUGAAGCAUUCCAUAUUUUU
This 103-nucleotide small nuclear RNA is filed under the name Vulpes vulpes (red fox). The record is from RNAcentral. Lineage: Eukaryota; Metazoa; Chordata; Mammalia; Carnivora; Canidae.